GACGAACGCUGGCGGCGUGCUUAACACAUGCAAGUCGAACGCUGAAGCUCAGCUUGCUGGGUGGAUGAGUGGCGAACGGGUGAGUAACACGUGAGUAACCUGCCCUCUUCUUUGGGAUAACGCCCGGAAACGGGUGCUAAUACUGGAUAUUCACUGAUUCUCGCAUGGGGGUUGGUGGAAAGGUUUUUUCUGGUGGGGGAUGGGCUCGCGGCCUAUCAGCUUGUUGGUGGGGUGAUGGCCUACCAAGGCUUUGACGGGUAGCCGGCCUGAGAGGGUGACCGGUCACAUUGGGACUGAGAUACGGCCCAGACUACUACGGGAGGCAGCAGUGGGGAAUAUUGCACAAUGGGCGAAAGCCUGAUGCAGCGACGCCGCGUGAGGGAUGGAGGCCUUCGGGUUGUAAACCUCUUUCGCUCAUGGUCAAGCCGCAGCGUUGGGUUGUGGUGAGGGUAGUGGGUAAAGAAGCGCCGGCUAACUACGUG
Molecule: ribosomal RNA, 482 nt
Filed under: uncultured bacterium
Lineage: Bacteria
Description: partial 16S ribosomal RNA
Rfam family: Bacterial small subunit ribosomal RNA
Source: RNAcentral